GGCCGGGCAGGGAGCAACCUCGGGGGGCCUGCCUGCCUCACAUAGCUGCUCCCGGGGCGCGGACUCCGGCUGCUUCUGCUCGCGGCCUUGCAAGCACCCGAAGCUCCCAAACUUCAUUUGGAAAGAUUUUUCUUCUGUUUGGUGUCACCAGUGACUUACUGGCCCAGAGGCCUUUGGGCCAAAGGCAGCCCCGCCGGUCCUUCUUUGAAUCCUUCAUCCGGACCCUCAUCAUCACGUGUGUGGCCCUGGCUGUGGUCCUGUCCUCGGUCUCCAUUUGUGAUGGGCACUGGCUCCUGGCUGAGGACCGCCUCUUCGGGCUCUGGCACUUCUGCACCACCACCAACCAGAGUGUGCCGAUCUGCUUCAGAGACCUGGGCCAGGCCCAUGUGCCCGGGCUGGCCAUGGGCAUGGGCCUGGUGCGCAGCGUGGGCGCCUUGGCCGUGGUGGCCGCCAUUUUUGGCCUGGAGUUCCUCAUGGUGUCCCAGUUGUGCGAGGACAAACACUCACAGUGCAAGUGGGUCAUGGGUUCCAUCCUCCUCCUGGUCUCUUUCGUCCUCUCCUCCGGCGGGCUCCUGGGUUUUGUGAUCCUCCUCAGGAACCAAGUCACACUCAUCGGCUUCACCCUAAUGUUUUGGUGCGAAUUCACUGCCUCCUUCCUCCUCUUCCUGAACGCCAUCAGCGGCCUUCACAUCAACAGCAUCACCCAUCCCUGGGAAUGACCAUGGAAAUUUUAGGCCCCCUCCAGGGACAUCAGAUUCUACAAGAAAAUAUGGUCGAAAUGGGACUUUUCCAGCAUGUGGCCUCUGGUGGGGCUGGGUUAGACAAG
This 826-nucleotide small RNA is filed under the name Pan troglodytes (chimpanzee). RNAcentral's name for it is "processed transcript". Lineage: Eukaryota; Metazoa; Chordata; Mammalia; Primates; Hominidae. The record is from RNAcentral.